Molecule: ribosomal RNA, 253 nt
Filed under: uncultured bacterium
Lineage: Bacteria
Description: partial 16S ribosomal RNA
Rfam family: Bacterial small subunit ribosomal RNA
Source: RNAcentral
UACGUAGGGUGCAAGCGUUAAUCGGAAUUACUGGGCGUAAAGGGCUCGUAGGUGGCCAAUUAAGUCAGACGUGAAAUCCCCAGGCUCAACUUGGGAACUGCGUCUGAUACUGGUUGGCUUGAAUUCGGGAGAGGGAUGCAGAAUUCCAGGUGUAGCGGUGAAAUGCGUAGAUAUCUGGAGGAAUACCGGUGGCGAAGGCGGCAUCCUGGACCGAGAUUGACACUGAUGAGCGAAAGCCAGGGGAGCAAACGGG